This 63-nucleotide non-coding RNA is filed under the name Serratia sp. (in: enterobacteria). RNAcentral describes it as "Serratia sp. Fluoride sequence". It matches the Rfam family "Fluoride riboswitch aptamer (crcB RNA motif)". RNAcentral also lists the same sequence under 1 other name. The record is from RNAcentral. Lineage: Bacteria; Pseudomonadati; Pseudomonadota; Gammaproteobacteria; Enterobacterales; Yersiniaceae.
CUGACAAACGGAGAUGACAUGCCUCCAUAACCGCCCCAUUAGGCUGAUGGUGUCUACGCUACC